CCUACGGGUGGCAGCAGUGAGGAAUAUUGGUCAAUGGCCGGAAGGCUGAACCAGCCAUGCCGCGUGAAGGUCAGUGCCCUAUGGGCGUUAAACUUCUUUUGUGCGGGAGCAAUAAUGGUCACGUGUGGCCAGACGAGAGUACCGUACGAAUAAGCAUCGGCUAACUCCGUGCCAGCAGCCACGGUAAUACGGGGGAUGCAAGCGUUAUCCGGAUUUAUUGGGUUUAAAGGGGGCGUAGGCUGUGAGGUAAGUCAGCGGUGAAAUGCCCCCGCUCAACGGGGUGAAGUGCCAUUGAUACUGCCAUGCUGGAAUGCGGAUGAGGUGGGAGGAAUGUGUGGUGUAGCGGUGAAAUGCGUAGAGAUCACGCAGAACACCGAUUGCGAAGGCAUCUCACGGAUCCGCGAUUGACGCUGAGGCACGAAAGCGUGGGUAUCAAACAGGAUUAGAUACCCUAGUAGUC
This 460-nucleotide ribosomal RNA is filed under the name uncultured bacterium. Its description in RNAcentral is "partial 16S ribosomal RNA". It matches the Rfam family "Bacterial small subunit ribosomal RNA", at positions 338 to 795 of the family's 1533-position model. The record is from RNAcentral.